UACGUAGGGAGCAAGCGUUGUCCGGAAUUAUUGGGCGUAAAGAGUUCGUAGGCGGUCUGUCGCGUCCGUUGUGAAAGCCCAGGGCUCAACCCUGGGUCUGCAGUGGAUACGGGCAGACUAGAGUCAGGUAGGGGAGAACGGAAUUCCUGGUGUAGCGGUGAAAUGCGCAGAUAUCAGGAGGAACACCGGUGGCGAAGGCGGGUCUCUGGGCCGAUACUGACGCUGAGGAGCGAAAGCGUGGGGAGCGAACAGG
This 253-nucleotide ribosomal RNA is filed under the name uncultured bacterium. RNAcentral's name for it is "partial 16S ribosomal RNA". It matches the Rfam family "Bacterial small subunit ribosomal RNA", at positions 524 to 776 of the family's 1533-position model. The record is from RNAcentral.